GAUGAACGCUGGCGGCGUGCCUAAUACAUGCAAGUCGAGCGAACAGAUGAGGAGCUUGCUCCUCUGACGUUAGCGGCGGACGGGUGAGUAACACGUGGAUAACCUACCUAUAAGACUGGGAUAACUUCGGGAAACCGGAGCUAAUACCGGAUAAUAUAUUGAACCGCAUGGUUCAAUAGUGAAAGACGGUUUUGCUGUCACUUAUAGAUGGAUCCGCGCCGCAUUAGCUAGUUGGUAAGGUAACGGCUUACCAAGGCAACGAUGCGUAGCCGACCUGAGAGGGUGAUCGGCCACACUGGAACUGAGACACGGUCCAGACUCCUACGGGAGGCAGCAGUAGGGAAUCUUCCGCAAUGGGCGAAAGCCUGACGGAGCAACGCCGCGUGAGUGAUGAAGGUCUUCGGAUCGUAAAACUCUGUUAUUAGGGAAGAACAAAUGUGUAAGUAAUUAUGCACGUCUUGACGGUACCUAAUCAGAAAGCCACGGCUAACUACGUG
This 497-nucleotide ribosomal RNA is filed under the name uncultured bacterium. RNAcentral's name for it is "partial 16S ribosomal RNA". It matches the Rfam family "Bacterial small subunit ribosomal RNA", at positions 28 to 507 of the family's 1533-position model. The record is from RNAcentral.